AGCGAACGCUGGCGGCAGGCUUAACACAUGCAAGUCGAGCGGGCCCUUCGGGGUCAGCGGCAGACGGGUGAGUAACACGUGGGAACGUACCCUUUGGUUCGGAAUAACGCUGGGAAACUAGCGCUAAUACCGGAUACGCCCUUUUGGGGAAAGGCUUGCUGCCGAAGGAUCGGCCCGCGUCUGAUUAGCUAGUUGGUGGGGUAAUGGCCUACCAAGGCGACGAUCAGUAGCUGGUCUGAGAGGAUGAUCAGCCACACUGGGACUGAGACACGGCCCAGACUCCUACGGGAGGCAGCAGUGAGGAAUAUUGGACAAUGGGCGCAAGCCUGAUCCAGCCAUGCCGCGUGAGUGAUGAAGGCCUUAGGGUUGUAAAGCUCUUUUGUCCGGGACGAUAAUGACGGUACCGGAAGAAUAAGCCCCGGCUAACUUCGUG
This 433-nucleotide ribosomal RNA is filed under the name uncultured bacterium. RNAcentral's name for it is "partial 16S ribosomal RNA". It matches the Rfam family "Bacterial small subunit ribosomal RNA", at positions 29 to 507 of the family's 1533-position model. The record is from RNAcentral.